Molecule: transfer RNA, 76 nt
Filed under: Providencia heimbachae
Lineage: Bacteria; Pseudomonadati; Pseudomonadota; Gammaproteobacteria; Enterobacterales; Morganellaceae
Also listed under: 1 other name
Description: tRNA-Met(cat)
Rfam family: tRNA
About the family: Transfer RNA (tRNA) molecules are approximately 80 nucleotides in length.
Source: RNAcentral
CGCGGGAUGGAGCAGUCUGGUAGCUCGUCGGGCUCAUAACCCGAAGGUCGUCGGUUCAAAUCCGGCUCCCGCAACC